This 138-nucleotide unclassified non-coding RNA is filed under the name uncultured Arachnopeziza. RNAcentral's name for it is "sequence contains ITS2". The record is from RNAcentral. Lineage: Eukaryota; Fungi; Ascomycota; Leotiomycetes; Helotiales; Hyaloscyphaceae.
UGACCAAUCACGCAAGUGGUAUUGGGGCUUGCCAUCGGCAUCCCUUAAAACUAGUGGCAGUGCUAUAGGCUCUCAGCGCAGUAAUUAUUUCGCUCUUGAGUCCUAGAAACACCCGCCAAAACCCCAACUUUUUUUAGG